UACAGAGGUCUCAAGCGUUGUUCGGAUUCAUUGGGCGUAAAGGGUGCGUAGGCGGUCUGUUGCGUCGGCUGUGAAAACCCGGGGCUCAACUCCGGGCCUGCAGCCGAUACGGGCAGACUAGAGUUCGGCAGGGGAGACUGGAAUUCCUGGUGUAGCGGUGAAAUGCGCAGAUAUCAGGAGGAACACCGGUGGCGAAGGCGGGUCUCUGGGCCGAUACUGACGCUGAGGAGCGAAAGCGUGGGGAGCGAACAGG
This 253-nucleotide ribosomal RNA is filed under the name uncultured bacterium. RNAcentral describes it as "partial 16S ribosomal RNA". It matches the Rfam family "Bacterial small subunit ribosomal RNA", at positions 524 to 776 of the family's 1533-position model. The record is from RNAcentral.